Molecule: ribosomal RNA, 406 nt
Filed under: uncultured bacterium
Lineage: Bacteria
Description: partial 16S ribosomal RNA
Rfam family: Bacterial small subunit ribosomal RNA
Source: RNAcentral
AUUGAACGCUGGCGGCAGGCCUAACACAUGCAAGUCGAGCGAGCGGCGGACGGGUGAGUAAUGUAUGGGGCUCUGCCCGAUGGAGGGGGAUAACUACUGGAAACUGUUGCUAAUACCGCAUACUAUCGGAUGAACCCAAAUGGGAUUAGCUAGUUGGUGGGGUAAAGGCCCACCUAGGCGACGAUCUCUAGCUGGUCUGAGAGGAUGAUCAGCCACACUGGGACUGAGACACGGCCCAGACUCCUAAGGGAGGCAGAAGUGGGGAAUAUUGCACAAUGGGCGCAAGCCUGAUGCAGCCAUGCCGCGUGUAUGAAGAAGGCCUUAGGGUUGUAAAGUACUUUCAGCGGGGAGGCGUUACCCGCAGAAGAAGCACCGGCUAACUCCGUGCCAGCCGCCGCGGUAAUAC